RNAcentral lists this transfer RNA (63 nucleotides) under Haloa japonica. RNAcentral's name for it is "tRNA-Ile". The record is from RNAcentral. Lineage: Eukaryota; Metazoa; Mollusca; Gastropoda; Cephalaspidea; Haminoeidae.
GAGUAGUCGCCGGAAGAACGGACGUUAUUGAUGUUAACGAACAUGAUUGUCAAUCACUACUUU